This 255-nucleotide ribosomal RNA is filed under the name uncultured bacterium. Its description in RNAcentral is "partial 16S ribosomal RNA". It matches the Rfam family "Bacterial small subunit ribosomal RNA", at positions 524 to 776 of the family's 1533-position model. The record is from RNAcentral.
UACGUAGGGUGCAAGCGUUGUCCGGAAUUAUUGGGCGUAAAGGAGCUCGUAGGCGGUUUUGUCGCGUCGAAUGUGAAAACUCGGGGCUUAACCCCGAGCCUGCAGUGGAUACGGGCAGACUAGAGGUAGGUAGGGGAGAAUGGAAUUCCCGGUGUAGCGGUGAAAUGCGCAGAUAUCAGGAGGAACACCGGUGGCGAAGGCGGUUCUCUGGGCCUUACCUGACGCUGAGGAGCGAAAGCGUGGGGAGCAAACAGG